AGAAUCAACGCUGGCGGCGUGCCUAACACAUGCAAGUCGAACGAGAAAGUGGAGCAAUCCAUGAGUAAAGUGGCGCACGGGUGAGUAACACGUGACUAACCUACCCUUGAGUGGGGGAUAACCUAGAGAAAUCUGGGCUAAUACCGCAUAAUACCUUCGGGUCAAAGGAGCAAUUCGCUUAAGGAGGGGGUCGCGGCCGAUUAGUUAGUUGGCGGGGUAAUGGCCCACCAAGACUAUGAUCGGUAUCCGGCCUGAGAGGGCGCACGGACACACUGGAACUGAAACACGGUCCAGACUCCUACGGGAGGCAGCAGUGGGGAAUUUUGCGCAAUGGGGGAAACCCUGACGCAGCAACGCCGCGUGGAGGAUGAAGUCCCUUGGGACGUAAACUCCUUUCGAUCGGGACGAUAAUGACGGUACCGAGAGAAGAAGCCCGGCUAACUUCGCGCCAGCAGCCGC
This 459-nucleotide ribosomal RNA is filed under the name uncultured bacterium. Its description in RNAcentral is "SSU rRNA". It matches the Rfam family "Bacterial small subunit ribosomal RNA", at positions 26 to 518 of the family's 1533-position model. The record is from RNAcentral.